GAUGAACGCUGGCGGCGUGCCUAAUACAUGCAAGUCGAGCGAACAGACGAGGAGCUUGCUCCUCUGACGUUAGCGGCGGACGGGUGAGUAACACGUGGAUAACCUACCUAUAAGACUGGGAUAACUUCGGGAAACCGGAGCUAAUACCGGAUAAUAUAUUGAACCGCAUGGUUCAAUAGUGAAAUACGGUUUUGCUGUCACUUAUAGAUGGAUCCGCGCCGCAUUAGCUAGUUGGUAAGGUAACGGCUUACCAAGGCAACGAUGCGUAGCCGACCUGAGAGAGUGAUCGGCCACACGGGAACUGAGACACGGUCCAGACUCCUACGGGAGGCAGCAGUAGGGAAUCUUCCGCAAUGGGCGAAAGCCUGACGGAGCAACGCGGCGUGAGUGAUGAAGGUCUUCGGAUCGUAAAGCUCUGUUAUUAGGGAAGAACAAAUGUGUAAGUAACCGUGCACGUCUUGACGGUACCUAGUCAGAAAGCCACGGCUAACUACGUG
Molecule: ribosomal RNA, 497 nt
Filed under: uncultured bacterium
Lineage: Bacteria
Description: partial 16S ribosomal RNA
Rfam family: Bacterial small subunit ribosomal RNA
Source: RNAcentral